Balaenoptera musculus (blue whale) is the source of this 4428-nucleotide RNA transcript. It is a transcript of the gene named defective in cullin neddylation 1 domain containing 2, with no coding region annotated. NCBI's taxonomy places the organism in Eukaryota, Metazoa, Chordata, Mammalia, Artiodactyla, Balaenopteridae. The record is from RefSeq and is a predicted model, not a curated record. The transcript is spliced from 8 exons.
UAAGAGGAGAUUUUGUUGUAUUCAGUGUCUCUGGAAGGGCAUUUUAAGGAUAACAUUUUCAUUUUGUAUGUGGUCAGUUUUGGUGCCCAGAUCACAUGAGUGAUUUUUUACAAGGUCACAAUUUAAACGUUUGAGACUUUUUCCAGAGGUAGAGAAUUUAUCUGAUGUUUUUCCUGGAUUGUCCAGAUUUUUAUUUCAAGAAUUUUGUACAUUUUAACAGGGUAAAACAAAGUAGAAAAAGCCCUCCCACUUCCCUUAAAAGCUGCCGUUAAUACUUUAACUUCCUUGGCGUGGUGAGCCUUAGUGAAGGCCAUCAGAGCUUGAAGGGCAGGCUGUGGCCCUUCCAGGUUAUGGACCUUUAUUAAUUUUAGAUGGAUUUAGUCCUAAGUAGACCCAGAGCUUUCUUUCUCUGGUAAAUAUUUAGUUUAUGAGGCUUUUUUUUUUUUUUAGAAAGCUUUAUGCCAGGUCCCUUUUUUUACAAAUUGCAACUUGAAUCUCUUCGUCCCUUUUGGGCAGGAAGCACAUAUAGUCUUUAGAUUUAGCUGUUGGUUAUUGUUUUAAUCACUGUAGGGGUAACACUGAAUCACUGGAACUUUGUUGACCGUCCCCUCCCCUUUCACCCUGGCCAGAGACCUGCCCUGGGCUCGGCUUGGACCCGCGGCCGCUGUUGCUGAUUCUGAACCGGCACCUUCGUGCCACUGUGCGGUUCCAGGUGGCAGGAUCUGUCUUGGAAUAGACAGAUCCUACCACCGGGAAUAGACUGAUUCUCUAUGUGCACUUCUCCCCGCUUUGUAACUCACGCGGUGACAGUUCAGACCGCCCUGGGCGGCCUGGGCCACGUGCUGCCCCUGCCCCUCUCCGCCUGGGCUUCCCGGAAAGCGCCCUCCUUUAUGUUGUCACAGAGCCGCCGGGUCACGGUUUAGGAGGGGCUGCGGGAGGCUACCGUCAGGAGAAGGACCUCGAGAUGGGACCUCGUGCUGGGCAGCACCUCCUUGGCGGGGAUCUGCCGGCUGCAUGGUUGUCACCUGAGCAAACGUUGCUCUGUUGGCUCAUCUGGGAGGGGCUCAGGGCGCUAGGGUGGAUUUUUCUGAGGUGAAAUCACAUCACAUAAAGUUAACCGUUUCGAAGUGUACGGUCCAGUGGUGCGUAGGACCUUCACCGCGUUGUGCUACCGCUGCCUGUGUCUAGUUCCAGAAUAUUUUCAUCCCCCGAAGGAAGGCCCACACCUGUCAGCAGUCCCUCGCACGCCUCCCUCCCCCAGCCCCUGGCCACACCGCCCGCCCUCCGUCUCAGGACUUGCCUGCGCUGCACGUUUCACGAGAAUGGAAUCUCACAUUACACAUUUCUGUAAGUUAUCAUUUAUUCUGUGUGCUUCUAUAAACUCAUCUUUUUUUGAACAAGACAUAAGCUUAAAUCAUCUCAGAAGGACAAGGUCCACCAGCUCAUGGCAUUCACUCAGGCUGGUGAGAGAACGGCCAUCCACUGCUUAGCCCAAAGUGAGUGGAAACUGGACACGCCACGGACAGCUUCUUCCAGAACCCGGCCUCGUUCCACAAGGACUCCACGAGAACCUCCGCCGUCAGGAAGAAGCUGGAGCCGCUGUAUAACAGGUGCAAAGGUAGGGGGCGCAGUGGCGACUGCGUCCGUCUCCAGGGAGCAGGGUGGCUGUUCUGGAGUCUCCGUGCUGCGUCCCAGGGCCCCCGACGUGCAUUCCUUCCCGUGCAGAUGUUCAGCUGCACGAUUCAGUCAGUCUAAGUGGGACCGUGGCUGCUGAUGGCGCGAGGCUGGGCUGGGACGAGACGCGUGGGGUCUGAGGACUGACGAGCAGCGAGCCCUCCUGCGCGUGGCCCGGGCGGAGGCUCGUGUGCCCCCGGUCAGCUGCGGGCGGUCACUGCCCGGAGGCCUGGUGUCCAGGCCAGGUGGCUACACUCGUUAAGACAGUGCUCUUCCCCAGCACUUCCACGUAGGCAGGAAUACGUGGUGAGAAGGCCGUUUCAGAACGAUACCAAAUCGUAAGAAUAAUUCUGACGUGAGGGUACAGGACGCCGUGUGCUGGUGUUGGAGCCCUGGAACAGCUCCAGCUGCAGAAGCUUCUGAAAAAACUCUUGGCAAAAAAACCUUUGUGUUGUCAGUUGGGGACAGUUGUUAUUUUAAUUGAAAUUGGCACUUAGAAUGGAGCUUUCCCUAUCAAAAUACAGUCAUGCUGCAAAAAUAAGUCUGCAUGAUAAGUCUGUUUAGAUCCAGACUGCUCAGCAGGCUUUAAAUUCCACAUCAAAUGUCAGGUCUAUGCUGUAAUGGGAGAGGCGGCAAUGAUUCAAGAGCUGAUUUUUUUUGUUUUUCUAGCAGUUUCUAAGGUUAAUCUUAUCUUUCCAAAACUUAAAAAAUAAAAUCCCUCAUUUAAACAAGUAUUAACACAAACAGAGUAACUCCCUUGGCUUUAAGUUCUUGUUUAUUUAUUAUUUUCAUUUUUUACUUUUGAAAAUACUGUGUAUAAUCUGUCUAUUUAGAUCCAAAAAAUCAAUUGAAAAUUGCAUUCCUUUUUUUUUUUAAAAAAAAUCUUGGUUCAGAAACAUGUUCUGUGGUUUGAAAAACAGAUUUGUACUUGUUGUAGUUCUCCAAAAAUGAACAUUGUUUUCAGUGUGCUUUAAAUUUUUUUGGCUAAGUUAAUUACUGAGCUAAUUUUGUAAGUCAUGUGCUAUGCAGAUUUUAAAAGUUAUUCAGAUAUGUGCAGCUGCCUUUGGAAAAAUAUUUUUAUGUGAAAAUUAUCUUUAAGCUUCAUCCCUUAUCAUUUAAUUUUAUUCAUGCAAUUCUAGUCAUUUAAAGUAGACAUAUGGUACAAUCAUUUUGGGCCCUAAAAGUAGAUGUAUAGUUCAAAGACUAUUGACAAAUAGAACAACUGUUGUUACACAAUGUAUACAAAUGAAUGAGUGCUUCCAAACUACUUUAAAGCAUUCAAAAUCAUUGUAUAUGAAGUUUAUCAGGACGAUUAUUAGGUGAGGGCAUCGUAGACCCAUUUUUCUGUUAUCCUGAAGGUCUGUCGUGUUCGGAGCACAGGCCUGAGUCAGGAGGUGUGUGGGAAUCUCUGACCUAUGAGCCCACAGCGGCAGGUUCUCACGGACACAGGAGCGUAGAGUUGGAAGGGUCUGUGUGAUUUUGCUCAUUUAAGACCCACAAGAUGAAAAUAAAAUUGGAAUUGAUGGAAUUCAAAAGUUUUGUGAUGAUUUAAGCGUAGAUCCUGCCAGUGUCACCGUUUUGGGUAUAGCUGGAAAUUUAGGGCCACAACUCUAUGUGAAUUUAGCAAAAAGGAAUUUGUAGAUGGCAUGGCAGAGCUUGGGGUUGGGAUAAAAGCUUCAUUCAUACCUUAACAUGUUUCUUACUUGCUGGAUGAGUCGGAGAGGUAAAGGAAAGCACAUAAACACCUUCUAAUCACUAAGCUUAUUGAACUGUUUCAGGAGACUUAGAAGUGGCCGUCGCAUAUUGGAAUUUGGUAUUAUCCGGAAGCCUUAAGUUUUUAGAUCUUUGGAACAUCUUUUUGUUGGAGCAUCGCAAGAGAUCAAUCCCAAGGAACACUUGGAACCUUCUGCUAGAUUUUGGAAAUAUGAUUGCAGAUGACAUGUCCAGCUAUGAUGAAGAAGGAGCAUGGCCUGUUCUUAUAGAUGAUUUCGUAGAAUAUGCACGGCCAGUGGUCACAAGUGGUAAAGGCAGCCCUCUCUAGGCAGAAAAUCGAGAUGGAUUAAGGUGAAAAGGGAACUGUCCUGCAGGAGACACUGGUCAGCUAUGCCUGUCGCCCAUUUUGGAAGUCAUCCUGACCAGUCGUGAGACUGGAGACCCUCUCCUGCUGCUUAGAGAAGACACCACUGACUGUGGACGCCGCACGGAGACCCUCUGAGCUCGCUGUUGGGGCGCCCAGAGACGGGGCCCUAGCUGUUGCUGUAAGAGACCUCUGCAUGAUUUCCGCAUUUACGGAGGAGCUGGGGCCUGUCUGCAGGCUGCAGGGUCGCUGUUGAUCAUGACCCAAAGCAAGGCUGUGCUCACCACACUCGCUGAAUUGUCCGUAACCACCCCUGAGAAACAGUACAAGUCAGGCUGCUGGAAACGUGCCCUAAAGAAGAUGAUCGUCGUGGAUGCUGACGGUUUUAAACUUGGUGCCAGGGUUAAGAUUUAUAUUUUUUGAAUCAUCAAGUGUCUAGAUUUAUCAGCUCUAUUUUCAUUUCACUUUUCUCUGGAUGUUCAUCUGGGAAUCAUUUUACAGGUUAACGCGCUGUUGCAGUUUGCAAAGCGAUGGUGUCAUCGUGAUUCCAGAAAAGUGUUCUUUUAAAUUGCCUGCAAGUCAGUAGGUCUGCUUUACUUCUACUAAUGUCAGCUGAACUUCCUAAGAAGCUUCAUAAAGUAUGCUUUUAAAAAAACUGUAUUUAAAAGGACAUUUUU